RNAcentral lists this non-coding RNA (76 nucleotides) under Acetobacterium woodii. RNAcentral's name for it is "c-di-GMP sequence". It matches the Rfam family "c-di-GMP-I riboswitch aptamer". From Rfam's summary of the family: GEMM was predicted in a large-scale screen for bacterial structured RNA regulatory elements. Genes associated with GEMM are involved in a diverse array of functions, including chemotaxis regulation, signal transduction, secretion and chitin. The record is from RNAcentral. Lineage: Bacteria; Bacillati; Bacillota; Clostridia; Eubacteriales; Eubacteriaceae.
CAACGACAAUGGCAAACCUAUCGAAAGGUAGGGACGCAAAGCUAAAGGGCCUGUAAAAUGGUAGCCAGUUAUCGAA